CGCUGUGUGACUCAGUCAGUAGAGCAUGGUGCUUGCAACACCAAAGUUGUGGGUUCGAUUCCUGCUGUGGCCA
RNAcentral lists this transfer RNA (73 nucleotides) under Salmo salar (Atlantic salmon). It matches the Rfam family "tRNA". Rfam says of the family: Transfer RNA (tRNA) molecules are approximately 80 nucleotides in length. Lineage: Eukaryota; Metazoa; Chordata; Actinopteri; Salmoniformes; Salmonidae. The record is from Rfam by way of RNAcentral.